RNAcentral lists this ribosomal RNA (204 nucleotides) under Triticum aestivum (bread wheat). Its description in RNAcentral is "partial small subunit ribosomal RNA". The record is from RNAcentral. Lineage: Eukaryota; Viridiplantae; Streptophyta; Magnoliopsida; Poales; Poaceae.
AUGCACCCACAAGUGAUCUGCUGGAAUGUUAGGGGCCUUAACAAUCUAGCAAAGCGUAAGGCCGUUCGAGACUUUGUUAGCAUGGUGAAAGUGAACUUGGUGUGUCUACAGGAGACGAAACUUGAUGUAAUUGACACUUAUAUGGUAAUGCAAUGUUUGGGGCCAUCGUUUGAUGGUCACGCUUAUUUGCCGGCGGUUGACACG